RNAcentral lists this ribosomal RNA (507 nucleotides) under uncultured bacterium. RNAcentral's name for it is "bacterial SSU rRNA". It matches the Rfam family "Bacterial small subunit ribosomal RNA", at positions 8 to 526 of the family's 1533-position model. The record is from RNAcentral.
AGAGUUUGAUCAUGGCUCAGAAUGAACGUUGGCGGCGUGGAUUAGGCAUGCAAGUCGGACGGGCCGCAAGGCCAGUGGCGUAAGGGUGAGUAAGGCGACGGCAAUCCACCCCACGGUUGGGUAUAGCCGCGAGAAAUCGCGGGUAAUCCCCAGCGACGCGCGGCGUCGGCAUCGACGCCCUGCCAAAGGCUCGCCGCCGUGGGACGAGCCGUCGUGGUAUUAGGUCGUUGGCGGGGUAACGGCCCACCAAGCCUGCGAUCAGUAACUGGUGUGAGAGCACGACCAGUCACACGGGCACUGAGACACGGGCCCGACUCCUACGGGAGGCAGCAGUAAGGAAUAUUGGUCAAUGGACGCAAGUCUGAACCAGCCAUGCCGCGUGGAGGAUGAAGGUCCUCUGGAUUGUAAACUUCUUUUAUCUGGGAAGAAACCCAUAUUUUCUAGUAUGGUUGACGGUACCAGAUGAAUAAGCACCGGCUAACUUCGUGCCAGCAGCCGCGGUAAUAC